CUUCCUGUGAUGAGAUCAAUGUCCAGUUCUGCUACUGAUGAUCAGCGAUGACAAUCAGACUCCUGAGGAAG
Small nucleolar RNA from Hyla sarda, 71 nucleotides. The record is from RefSeq and is a predicted model, not a curated record. NCBI's taxonomy places the organism in Eukaryota, Metazoa, Chordata, Amphibia, Anura, Hylidae.